GAUGAAGAACGCAGUGAAAUGCGAUAAGUAAUGUGAAUUGCAGAAUUCAGUGAAUCAUCGAAUCUUUGAACGCACAUUGCGCCCGCCAGUAUUCUGGCGGGCAUGCCUGUUCGAGCGUCAUUUCAACCAUCAAGCCCCCGGCUUGUGUUGGGGACCUGCGGCUGCCGCAGGCCCUGAAAAGCAGUGGCGGGCUCGCUGUCACACCGAGCGUAGUAGCAUACAUCUCGCUCUGGGCGUGCUGCGGGUUCCGGCCGUUAAACCACCUUCAUAACCCAAGGUUGACCUCGGAUCAGGUAGGAAGACCCGCUGAACUUAAGCAUAGCAAUAAGCGGAGGA
This 336-nucleotide unclassified non-coding RNA is filed under the name soil metagenome. RNAcentral describes it as "partial contains 5.8S ribosomal RNA, internal transcribed spacer 2, and large subunit ribosomal RNA". The stretch from base 1 to 120 matches the Rfam family "5.8S ribosomal RNA", at positions 35 to 154 of the family's 154-position model. The record is from RNAcentral.